RNAcentral lists this unclassified non-coding RNA (386 nucleotides) under uncultured fungus. RNAcentral describes it as "partial contains 5.8S ribosomal RNA and internal transcribed spacer 2". The stretch from base 1 to 135 matches the Rfam family "5.8S ribosomal RNA", at positions 22 to 154 of the family's 154-position model. The record is from RNAcentral. Lineage: Eukaryota; Fungi.
UGGCUCUCGCAUCGAUGAAGAACGCAGCGAAUUGCGAUAUGUAAUGUGAAUUGCAGAAUUCAGUGAAUCAUCGAAUCUUUGAACGCAUAUUGCACCCUCUGGUCCAUUCCAGAGGGUAUGCCUGUUUGAGUGUCAUUAAUGUAUCAAACCACCAAGCUUGCUUGGUUGGUCUUGGAUGUUGAGGGUUGCUGGGGUUUUCAAUGAUCAGCUCCCUUUAAAUGCAUUAGCUUGGAAUGUAUAAGCCAUUUUAGCUUAGGCUGAUAUGAAUACUGUGUAUUAAAUGCUUUUGCUAAAGUGUAGCUUGUCUGGGCUUAUAACUGUCUAGCUGAGACUGUCUUUUGACAUUGUUAAGUCAUGACCUCAAAUCAGGUAGGACUACCCGCUGA